GGAGAAAAAGAGGAGGAAUGGCAAAGGCUGAUUGACUUUGUCAGCUACUUACUUUAAAAAACAUUUGAGAAAGCCAGAAAGCAGAGGGGAGGAAGCUCCACCGUCAUGAGAAUGGGAAGCAGAGGCAGCGGCAGCGUGCACAGACAUCCUUUGAAGGUUUGUUAUAAACACAGAAACUGAUGUCUGGGAAAAGGCUGGAGUGCAAUGGCGCGAUCUCGGCUCACCGCAACCUCCGCCACCCAGGUUCAAGCAGUUCUCCUGCCUUUGUCUCCCGAGUAGCUGGGAUUACAGGCAUGCACCACCACGCCCGGCUAAUUUUGUAUUUUUAGUAGAGACAGGGUUUCUCCAUGUUAAGGCUGUUUUCGAACUCCUGACCUCAGGUGAUCCGCCCGCCUCGGCCUCCCAAAGUGCUGGGAUUACAAGCGUGAGCCACUGUGCCCAGCCCAAGCUGUACUUUUAUUUAAGUAUAAUUUAGUUAGAUAUGUGAACUCACUGAAAAUGUAUACACAAUUUUCUGUGUAUGUAUAAAAUUUGAUAUUUAAAUGUAUUUAUGGCAAGAGUAUCUGUAACUUUUAUGAACAUAUCAAGUGGACAUGAUCACAAAACAUGCAAUUUAUUACCAUAGAGCUUCAGAAAUACCCCUUCCAAAAAGUAUGUAUAAUGAUAUGAUACUUACAAUGGAGGCAACUAUGAUAUUUAACUGUCAGUAAACUGAAAGAAAAAAAUGACUCAAAAAGUUUGUAAAGAUGAUACCUUUC
Long non-coding RNA from Homo sapiens (human), 758 nucleotides. Ensembl annotates it as long intergenic non-protein coding RNA 1099. NCBI's taxonomy places the organism in Eukaryota, Metazoa, Chordata, Mammalia, Primates, Hominidae. The record is from Ensembl.